Molecule: transfer RNA, 74 nt
Filed under: Halimeda borneensis
Lineage: Eukaryota; Viridiplantae; Chlorophyta; Ulvophyceae; Bryopsidales; Halimedaceae
Description: tRNA-Leu
Rfam family: tRNA
About the family: Transfer RNA (tRNA) molecules are approximately 80 nucleotides in length. Their secondary structure includes four short double-helical elements and three loops (D, anti-codon, and T loops). Further hydrogen bonds mediate the characteristic L-shaped molecular structure. tRNAs have two regions of fundamental functional importance: the anti-codon, which is responsible for specific mRNA codon recognition, and the 3' end, to which the tRNAs corresponding amino acid is attached (by aminoacyl-tRNA synthetases). tRNAs cope with the degeneracy of the genetic code in two manners: having more than one tRNA (with a specific anti-codon) for a particular amino acid; and 'wobble' base-pairing, i.e. permitting non-standard base-pairing at the 3rd anti-codon position.
Source: RNAcentral
GUUGCUAUGGUGAAAUUGGUAAACACACAAGCUUGAGGGGUUUGGUUUUCUCGGUUCAAGUCCGAGUAGCAACA